This 106-nucleotide microRNA precursor is filed under the name Arabidopsis suecica. Its description in RNAcentral is "MIR398". It matches the Rfam family "MIR398 microRNA precursor family". The record is from RNAcentral. Lineage: Eukaryota; Viridiplantae; Streptophyta; Magnoliopsida; Brassicales; Brassicaceae.
UGAAAUCUCAAAGGAGUGUCAUGAGAACACAAAUCCUAUGGUUUCUUUACAUUUUUAUUGAAACCAUUGAUUUUUUGUGUUCUCAGGUCACCCCUUUGAAUCUCCC